AUUUACCCUUCGAAAUUGAUAAAAAAUCGUUUCUUGACAUUCGAUUUUGGAGUACUUUUUAUGUGAACGUACUCAUACAUCGAACUUUUCCGUCGAAAAAAAUGUCUGACGCAAAGCGAAACAAAAGAAAAAAUGUCAAUUGGCAAUUGCUUGCAUAUUCAAUUUUUAAGGCGUUCAGACGAAGACUCUUUUGUCACUCAUUAUCGCAAAUUCUCUUUUGGUGUCGCAUAGUGCGUUCACACGAGUUUUCUUGAUUACUCAAUAAUUUGUAAGAAAGUCGUCUUAUAAUGGCAACCAAGUUUGUAUAAUUCAGUGAUAUGUUAACAUGAUAUUUCGCGUCUUAUUCGACCCCCAUACUAGUAGGUCCUAUUUUCUUGGGGUCGGGGGUAAUCUUCGGAAAGCAGAGUGUCUAUUCGUGCACGGCAUAUGCCAAUAUCCCCAAUAAUUGCAGUUUUCAUCCAGUCUAUUUAUAUUUAGAAAUGAGAGGUUUAAUUCAUAAAUGCUUGCCGUCUAAAUUUCCAAGUGUAUGCGCUCUUUAUAGAAUUUCUGGAGGAAGAUAUGGACUUUACGAGACCAUCAACACCGCUGAGUAGCCCUCUGGAAGCUGUGACAUCAUUUGACGUUUAUUAAUGUAUAUUGCAAUCAAUAAACAGUGAAUUUUCUCCUAA
Bactrocera oleae (olive fruit fly) is the source of this 668-nucleotide long non-coding RNA. RefSeq lists it as uncharacterized. Lineage: Eukaryota; Metazoa; Arthropoda; Insecta; Diptera; Tephritidae. The record is from RefSeq and is a predicted model, not a curated record.